This 2411-nucleotide long non-coding RNA is filed under the name Salmo salar (Atlantic salmon). RNAcentral's name for it is "lncRNA (ENSSSAG00000090405.1)". Lineage: Eukaryota; Metazoa; Chordata; Actinopteri; Salmoniformes; Salmonidae. The record is from RNAcentral.
UGCCUCUGUUUUGGUAAAAAGCUGAGGGAUGGGCCUGGAGAAAUGCAACCGAUCAGAUUAAUAGACAGAGCUAUGGAUGUAAGGAAUUACCAUCCAUAGCUAAGAACACAAUGGGAGUUACAUCCAUCUACCAUCAGGAAGGGGCCCUAGUUGUGCACUCCAUCCUCCCCUGGAUGACUGUGUGCCCUGUCCCCUGCUCUCCGCCUGAGCUGUUGCCUCUGGGAACAGUGGUUGACCAACUUGCCAGAUCAGGACUGAAGGGCAUCUUUGGUGGCCUCAGGGUGAUAGAGAGCUUCGAGGUUCUCAUGACAUAACUUCAGGUGGUUCUCUGUUAUCCUGCCCACUAGAGGAAAGCCCUCUUAUUCCUCGAGCCCCUGAUGAAGAUCUACAGCUUGUCCAGCGUGGCCCUCAGGUCAGCCCAGGGAGCCGGGGAUGGUUCCAUCAUCAGCGCCAUGGCCACUAUCAGGGCUCUAAGAGGUCUGAGUCUGUGCUGCUCCUAUAACACCCAGCACCUGAUCGUGAGAUUCCACUCCCUGGGUAAACCAGUGUAUGGUCCAGCUGUCCUGUGGAAGAGGAGAGCAUCGGUCCCACGUAAGCGCUGCCAAAGGAGGCUUUCUACCACCAGGCCUUCUGGUUGCUUGCCCCAUGAGACCAGCCCUGUCAUCUAGUGGAAAAGUGUCCCGACUGAAAGACCCCACAUAACACACUGGGAGUCACAUCUGUCCUCCCCUAGAAGACCAUGUGCCAUAUCCCCUGGUCUGCACCUGAUCUGGAAGUGUUAUUUGGUUGCCUGUAGGAGCAGUUGUUGACCAACUCACCAGAUAUCGUCUGAAGGGCCAGGCUGUCUUUGGUGGUCUCAGGGUGAUAGAGAACAAUGAGGUUGUCAUUACACAACUUCAGGUGGUCCUCUGUCAUCCUGCCCACCAGGGUGGCUCUAAGGUCGGCCCAGGGAGCCGGGGACGUCUCCAUCACCAGCACCGUGGCCACAAUCAGAGCUCUGAGAGCAGCACAUCCCUGACUUUGGAAGCAUGGGUCUGUGCUGCUCUUAUAACACCCAGCACCUGAUCGUAAGCUUCCUCUUACUGGGUAGACCUAUGCAAGGACCAGCUGCCCACCCGAAGGAGACGAGAGGCUUGAGGAAUUUCAGCAGGAGGACCUCCACAACGGCAAAUAACAUCUCAUACCUGCUUCGCAAACUCCCAAGCCUUGCAAUCUCCUCACCACCACUACCCCAAAGCGAAAUUGCCCUACGUCGCCCAUCACCAUCACCAAGCCAGCUCCUGCUGAAGCCCAGCAAGCCCUCUGAGCUGUGGAGGCCUAAGGGGAGUCGGUCCACUAGCCCCACUGCUCUCCUGGACACCAUCACACCCCCUUCAAACUGUGGGGCCAGAGCCCAUGACCAUGGCCUCACCAUCCCUCCCUAUCUGCCAAUGACUGGAAUGAACUACAAAAAUCUCUAAAACUGGAAACACUUAUCUCUCUCACUAGCUUUAAGCACCAGCUGUCAGAGCAGCUCACAAAUUACUGCACCUGUACAUAGCCCAUCUAUAAUUUAGCCCAAACAACUACCUCUUCCCCUACUGUAUUUAUUUAUUUUGCUCCUUUGCACCCCAUUAUUUCUAUUUCUACUUUGCACUUUCUUCCACUGUAAAUCUACCAUUCCAGUGUUUUACUUGCUAUAUUGUAUUUACUUCGCCACCAUGGCCUUUUUUGCCUUUACCUCCCUUAUCUCACCUAAUUUGCUCACUUUGUAUAUAGAUUUAUUUUUCUACUAUAUUAUUGACUGUAGGUUUGUUUUACUCCAUGUGUAACUCUGUGUUGUUGUGUGUCAAACUGCUUUGCUUUAUCUUGGCCAGGUCGCAAUUGUAAAUCAGAACAUGUUUUCAACUUGCCUACCUGGUUAAAUGAAGGUGAAAUUAAAAAAAAUAAAAAAUAAAUCUCAGGGGUGGCAAUUGACCCAGAGGAGGAGAAGCAAAUCUCAGAUGAGGCCAAGCAGAUGAAGAAGAACAAGAAGAAGAAGAUUUACGGAGUUUCUUCUCAAGGGUUUGGAAGACCCUUACAUCUUGCGUCCCCUCAUGCCACAUCAGGGACUGAAUCUAAUCAAAUUAAAUAAAAAUUAAAUAAAAUGUUAUUGGUCACAUACUCAUGGUUAGCAGAUAUUAAUGCAAGUGUAGCGAAAUGCUUGUGCUUCUAGUUCUGACAGCGCAGUAAAAUCUAACAAGUAAUCGAACAAUUCCCCAACAACUACCUAUACACACAAAUCUGAAGGGAUGGAAUAAGAAUAUGUACAUAUAAAUAUAUGGAUGAGCGCUGGCCAAGCGGCAUAGGCAAGGUGCAAUAGAUGGUAUAAGGUACAGUAUAUACAUUUAAGAUGAGUAAUGUAAGAUAUGUAAACAUUAUUAUUAAAGUGG